CUUCCCCUCUCCAGGCCGAGCCGAGGUAGGGCUCGGAGGAGUGAAGAGGUGCACUCCGCGUCUCUAGCUGGUGACAGGGCCCGACAGCGAUGUUCAGGCCGGUGUGAACCGGGGCAGAGAUGAAAACCGAGAGCUGCCCAGAGGUGUUCACAUCCCAGAAGUUAAACUUCCGUUUCUCCCCCAAAAAGUUAAACUAGGAGUUCUGGUAUGAUCUAGCAAUCCUACCCCUAGGUAUAUACCCAGAACUGAAAUCAGGUGCUCAGAGAGACGCUUAAGAGCCAAAAGGUGGAAACGGGCCGGAAAUGUCCAACUGAUGAAUGGUUAGACAGAUCCAUCUGGUGGAAUAUUACUCAGCCACGGAGAGGAAUCGAGGGCAGAAUCGUACUACCACAGACCCCAGGGGGAGCCUUCUAGCCCUGGCGCUGUGUCCCCACUGCUCCCCGCUGCCUGACAGCUGGCGUCCUGGUCCUGCGACUGGUCCUGCAACUCCUUCAGCUCAGCCAGCACCGCCUCCAGCACUGACCUGGGCACUGCCAUCUCUGUCCUCCCUGUAAGUGGCGGGUCAUGGCAGGACCCACUCCACUGUUGGAAUCCAGGGUUGCUCUUCUGACCUUCAGAGCAAAUUAGCUGCCCCAGCACUGCCAUGGCACCUCUUUCCCUCCCUGCAGUGGCCAUGGUCACUGUGGGUCCUCGUUUCUGGUCACCUGUCCCCUAGAAGGUGAUCAGACCUGAACACAUGCAGGCUGGAGCUCCAUCCAUGUCCACAUGGCCCCAGAGCCUCACAGGGGCCAUCCCAAGUAUGCCACUUCGCUGUGCUGGUUGCUUUGACUUGGGGCACUCACCACCCGAGCAGCUUUCAUUCUGCCUGACAAGCCAGCCUUUCCCCACCAUCUGCCUUCUGUCCCCCAACACCACCAGAUCACUGCUUCUCUUCCCAGAGCCCCCAGCCCUGUGUCUCUGUGUAGCUCAAAUCACCCAGCCUUUCACAGGGUGUCGCAUCGUGCAGGACCCGGCACACUGCACAGUUACCCGAGGCCUUCCCUGUUCACCACUUCCACGCCAGAACAGCCAGGGAAGCCUGGAGUGUAGCGGGCAGCCAGCUGUCCUUAUCCCGCACCCCUUCCAGGGCUGACAUCCGGCCAUGCUCCCCCAACCCACCGUCUGCCCAAACCUCUCCAUGGCUGCAUUUCACCAGCAGUAGGAAAAUAAAAGCCGCUUACCCUGAAUCUCUAGGCUCGCUCCUUCCUGGUGACCUUUCCUCACCCCGGUUCUCAGGUUAGUAAAACAGGACAGUCAUCGGGAGGAUCAAUGGCAUGACGAGGAAAGGGACUGGCAUGGUGCAGGGCUCCGCAGCUGUGUCCCCGCCCCGCUCCUGCCUGCCCGUCACCGGGUCAGUCCUCCAGUCCUCUCUGUCCUCCUGGAGUGGGACCAGCCUCAGCCUGAGGGAGAGGAACUGGGUGGCACUGGAGAGAAGGCGUCGGAGGAUUUCAGGCCUGACCAGCUGCCUGAUGUGUCUGGCUGGGCACCUGCAAGUCAGUGGUGGCCGCUGACCCACAGCCCCUGGUCCUCACAUCCCCAGGAAAGUGGCCUCUAGGCCCUGGACUGCCCACCUUGAGUCAUCAGAGCUGGGGAGCAGCCUUCCUUCUCCACCCCCUCCCGGCUGUGACCUAGGCACCCCAGGCAGGAGCAGGGUGCUGCCAGGACUUGCCUAAGUGCCUGCCUCAGGGCGGAGAGCUCAGACUGCAAGCGUCUGCCAGGAUUGCAGCCGAGAACCACCCAGAAGUCCUGGUGGCCUGGCUGACCACUCCUGAGUCGCCAGAACCUGAGCAGCCACAGACAGCUCCCAAAUGAGCCGCCCUUCCCGGAGGAUGGGCUCUUCUGCCCCAGUCCUCCUGCGCAGUGGGUUAUGACCUGGGCUAGGUUGGGGUGAGGAUCGGGGUUCUGGGGUGGGGGAGACAGGAUGGAAGAAGCUUGCCAAUUGCUCGCAUUGCAGUGUGAAAGUGCUCAACGUGACAGUGUGUUUUCAGAUGGUUAAAAUGGGCUGGCAAGGUGGUACGUGGCUGUAAUCCCAGCAGCGUGAGAGGCUGAGGCAGGAGGGGUGCAGGUUUGAGCUCACCCUGGACAAUUUAGGGAUGUUGUCAGGAGGGCAACAACUUGAAAUAAAUUAAAAAAUAGAAGUGCUGGUUACAGCUUGGGCAGUGUGAGGGCCCCGAGUUCAAUUCCCAGUGCCAGACACACACACACACACAUACCUCAUACAUGGUUAAGACGGUAAGUUUUAUGUUAAGUAUAAUUUAAAAUAAAUCGUACUUUAAAAAGAAAGAAAUGGCCAGAUGUGGUGCUGCACUGUAAUCCCAGCACUCAGGAGGCUGAGACAGGAGGUUACCAUGAGUUGGAGGCCGCCUGAACUACACAGACCCUGUCAAAAGAAAAAAGGUUGAUGUUUUGAAAUUUUUUUGUAGUUUUUUCCUUCUUUUUAUUCUUCAAAUAAAAUGGAUUUGGAAAAAAAGUAAGUUAGACAAGUUUAAGAAUAAAAGGGUGCUGUUACAGUGGGCGGUGGCUUGGAGCCCUGGCCUGCUGUGCAGAAGGCCCUGGAUUCCAUCCCUAGCAGUGCAAAAAAUGACCAUUAUGCCUGGUACCAGAUGUCAACAAGCCAGAUCCACUGGGCCGCAGGCUGUGCUCUGAAUGUGGAGGAAUAUCUGGAGAAACAUCAUCAACCUUUGUGAAGGUUAAAAAUAAGAACUUUUGUUAGUAUUGGGCGGGGGAGACCAUGCAGUCUAAUCUGUACUUCACACUAAAUAAAUUUCAAAUGGAUGAAAAAAAAAAAAA
Molecule: long non-coding RNA, 2829 nt
Organism: Cavia porcellus (domestic guinea pig)
Lineage: Eukaryota; Metazoa; Chordata; Mammalia; Rodentia; Caviidae
Exons: 2
Source: RefSeq, a predicted model, not a curated record